RNAcentral lists this long non-coding RNA (1338 nucleotides) under Lactuca sativa (garden lettuce). RNAcentral describes it as "long non-coding RNA (LSAT_LNC009589)". Lineage: Eukaryota; Viridiplantae; Streptophyta; Magnoliopsida; Asterales; Asteraceae. The record is from RNAcentral.
CUCGAUCUCCGAUUCGAGUUUUUAGCUGUCUGCUGCUAAGCCGAACUUGGAAAAAUCUUAACUUCAAUAUACGAAGCCGGAUUUGGGCAUUCCUUUUUACGUACGAUCCCGGUUUAAUGAUAUUAAACAUAGAAGGAAUUUAAAUAGAUACUUUUUGGGCAUUUUAUUGAAACUUUGCGUUUUUACGUAACUUCGUAUUGCCGGUUUUUGUCGGAAAACUUAGAAUGGUCAUAACUUCUUCGUUAUAACUCAGAUUUUAGUGUUCUUUAUAUGCUUGGAAACCUUAAGACGAUAUCUACUACAUAGCGUACUCCAAACAGAGCCUUUGAAUACUUCAUUUUUCGAUGAUAUUCUCAUUACUUUUAGAAAGAGGUUACAAGACUCAAAUUUCAAGGACCUGAAAUGACGGGUUGUUACAGUUAAACAUUCCUAAUGUAGAUGGGGAUCCUUUGCUUCUACAUUACGUCUUUUGCCAUGAAGUUGUCACCGACCCCCGAAGCCAAGUACAUGAAAUGGUUUUGAGAUUGGGGUUAUGAGUUUUCAUUCAGGAAGAAAGAAUUUUGUCUCAUCACCGGCUUCCGGUUUGGUGACUAUUUUCCUGCGUCUGCAUCUGGCGCCGCCUUCCGUUCUCAUGUCUUUCGGACGAGGAUGCAAUCCGUGUAUGUCUUCUGUACCUAUUAGAGAAGGGUUUUAAUGGGCAGUUGGCUAAACAGCCUGUUACAGAAGAUUAUUUCGCUUUGUUGUCCAACCUUGAUUAAUUCAACAAGUAUAAUAUCGUUUAUUUUAUAAUUACUAAUUAUAAUUACUUGUCGUUGCUAAUAUUUUUUAGAAAUUUAAUUGUAAACUAUUUUUUUAUGUGGCAGAUAUCCAUGGAGGGGGGGGGGGUAAUUUGGGAUGAAUUGUACAAACAACUAUUUACUAUAUUCAAUAAGGUUGACAAGCUUAUACAUCCAGAUGAACCAAAAGAGAACGGAUCUCAAAAAUUGACCUGCACCCUACAGGGGUUUUUAUACGCUUUUAAGGUAAAUAUAUGAUAAAAAAAUUUAUUAUUUAUUUUUGUUUGCUAACAUUCUAAUAGUUUUUUAUUUAUUUAUUUGCUUGAUAAGAUUUAGAUAUUGAUUCUUGAGACUUUUCUGCUGAGUAUUUGUUUGGUACCCGAUAACAGAAUGUGAUCCUUCGGGCUGUUGCAUGGUUAAAUUUGAGGCCUUUACAAAAGACUCACUACAACCAGUUUUUACAAAUUGACGAGGUAUGGUUACUUUAUUAUUUAAAUAUUUAGUUAUUUUAUAAUUUAUGUUUAUUUAUAAUUUCAUAAUUUACGUUAGCAGGAUAAUAGAC